This is a non-coding RNA of Phytophthora infestans T30-4, 72 nucleotides long. The record is from the annotation of a RefSeq genome assembly. Lineage: Eukaryota; Oomycota; Peronosporomycetes; Peronosporales; Peronosporaceae.
UCUCCUGUAGCUCAGUUGGCAGAGGAAGUGAAUGUUGCCUCAAGGUCGCUGGUUCAAACCCAGCUGGCAAAG